CCUACGGGAGGCUGCAGUGAGGAAUAUUGGUCAAUGGGCGCGAGCCUGAACCAGCCAAGUAGCGGGAAGGAUGAAGGUUCUAUGGAUCGUAAACCUCUUUUAUAAGGGAAUAAAGUGCGGGACGUGUCCCGUUUUGUAUGUACCUUAUGAAUAAGGAUCGGCUAACUCCGUGCCAGCAGCCGCGGUAAUACGGAGGAUCCGAGCGUUAUCCGGAUUUAUUGGGUUUAAAGGGUGCGUAGGCGGCCUUUUAAGUCAGCGGGGAAAGUCUGUGGCUCAACCAUAGAAUUGCCGUUGAAACUGGGAGGCUUGAGUAUGUUUGAGGCAGGCGGAAUGCGUGGUGUAGCGGUGAAAUGCUUAGAUAUCACGCAGAACCCCGAUUGCGAAGGCAGCCUGCCAAGCCAUGACUGACGCUGAUGCACGAAAGCGUGGGGAUCAAACAGGAUUAGAUACCCGGGUAGUC
RNAcentral lists this ribosomal RNA (460 nucleotides) under uncultured bacterium. RNAcentral's name for it is "partial 16S ribosomal RNA". It matches the Rfam family "Bacterial small subunit ribosomal RNA", at positions 338 to 795 of the family's 1533-position model. The record is from RNAcentral.